This 253-nucleotide ribosomal RNA is filed under the name uncultured bacterium. Its description in RNAcentral is "partial 16S ribosomal RNA". It matches the Rfam family "Bacterial small subunit ribosomal RNA", at positions 524 to 776 of the family's 1533-position model. The record is from RNAcentral.
UACGAAGGGGGCUAGCGUUGUUCGGAAUCACUGGGCGUAAAGGGCGCGUAGGCGGCCUGAUAAGUCGGGGGUGAAAGCCUGUGGCUCAACCACAGAAUUGCCUUCGAUACUGUUAGGCUUGAGACCGGAAGAGGUAAGUGGAACUGCGAGUGUAGAGGUGAAAUUCGUAGAUAUUCGCAAGAACACCAGUGGCGAAGGCGGCUUACUGGUCCGGUUCUGACGCUGAGGCACGAAAGCGUGGGGAGCAAACAGG